This 270-nucleotide ribosomal RNA is filed under the name uncultured bacterium. RNAcentral's name for it is "partial 16S ribosomal RNA". It matches the Rfam family "Bacterial small subunit ribosomal RNA", at positions 87 to 354 of the family's 1533-position model. The record is from RNAcentral.
CGGUUUUAGUGGCGGACGGGUGAGUAACGCGUGGGUAACCUGCCUCACACUGGGGGAUAACACUUAGAAAUAGGUGCUAAUACCGCAUAAGCGCACGGGACUGCAUGGUCUUGUGUGAAAAACUCCGGUGGUGUGAGAUGGACCCGCGUCUGAUUAGCUGGUUGGCGGGGUAACGGCCCACCAAGGCGACGAUCAGUAGCCGGCCUGAGAGGGUGGACGGCCACAUUGGGACUGAGACUUUACGGCCCAAACUCCUACGGAAGGCAGCAG